AUUCCUGAUUUUGUUGUUCGCUUGCCUGUUGAUGAUGUAUAAGAAUGCUAGUGCUUUUCAUAUAUUGAUUUUGUGUCCUGAAACUUUGCUGAAGUUGUUUAUCAGCUGAAGGGGCUUUUAAGCCUAGAGACUGUGGGGUUUUCUAGAUAUAAAAUUGUGUCUGCUAACAGGGAUAGGUUGAUUUCCUCUCUUCCUAUUUGGAUCCCCUUUGUUUCUUUCUCUUGCCUGUUUUCUCUUGCUGGGAUUUCUAAUGCU
Long non-coding RNA from Sapajus apella (tufted capuchin), 255 nucleotides. RefSeq lists it as uncharacterized. The record is from RefSeq and is a predicted model, not a curated record. The transcript is spliced from 3 exons. NCBI's taxonomy places the organism in Eukaryota, Metazoa, Chordata, Mammalia, Primates, Cebidae.